UCAUAUGCCUAAGGAUCAGAAGCCCAAGAAUCAGAGUCCGAAACUUCUCAGAGAGAUUUCAUUUUCCUUACAAGAUGAAGAUCUAUUCACCAAGAAGAGUCUGUUAUUCAACUGGACAGAGAACUCCUCUCCUGGAUGGCAAUAAGCUGAAGGAAGAUGUUGAAUGAAUAACCCAGGCCAAAGCUAUCAGCAGGUUUCUGUCAAAUAAAUAGAUCAUCCUUCGUACCCCAGAAAGCUGUCAGGCUCAAUACUUUGCAACCAUCUGUGCAUCCUUCUU
Prionailurus viverrinus (fishing cat) is the source of this 277-nucleotide long non-coding RNA. RefSeq lists it as uncharacterized. The transcript is spliced from 3 exons. NCBI's taxonomy places the organism in Eukaryota, Metazoa, Chordata, Mammalia, Carnivora, Felidae. The record is from RefSeq and is a predicted model, not a curated record.